RNAcentral lists this ribosomal RNA (1427 nucleotides) under uncultured Bordetella sp. Its description in RNAcentral is "partial 16S-23S ribosomal RNA intergenic spacer". It matches the Rfam family "Bacterial small subunit ribosomal RNA". Lineage: Bacteria; Pseudomonadati; Pseudomonadota; Betaproteobacteria; Burkholderiales; Alcaligenaceae. The record is from RNAcentral.
GUUCGAUCAUGGCUCAGAUUGAACGCUGGCGGGAUGCUGCAUACAUGCAAGUCGAACGGCAGCGCGGACUUCGGUCUGGUGGCGAGUGGCGAACGGGUGAGUAAUGUAUCGGAACGUGCCUAGAAGGGGAUAACUACGCGAAAGCGUAGCUAAUACCGCAUACACCCUUCGGGGGAAAGCGGGGGACCUUCGGGCCUCGCACUAUUAGAGCGGCCGAUAUCGGAUUAGCUUGUUGGUGGGGUAACGGCUCACCAAGGCGACGAUCCGUAGCUGGUUUGAGGACGACCAGCCACACUGGGACUGAGACACGGCCCAGACUUACGGAGGCAGCAGUGGGGAAUUUGGACAAUGGGGAAAACCCCUGAUCCAGCCAUCCCGCGUGUGCGAUGAAGGCCUCGGGUUGUAAAGCACUUUGCAGGAAAAGAAACGGCACGGAGUACACCCCCGUGCAACUGACGGUACCUGCAGAAUAAGCACCGGCUAACUACGUGCCAGCAGCCGCGGUAAUACGUAGGGGUGCAAGCGUUAAUCGGAAUUACUGGGCGUAAAGCGUGCGCAGGCGGUUCGGAAAGAAAGCGGAUGAAAUCCCAGAGCUUAACUUUGGAACUGCAUUUUUAACUACCGAGCUAGAGGUGUCAGAGGGAGGUGGAAUUCCGCGUGUAGCAGUGAAAUGCGUAGAUAUGCGGAGGAACACCGAUGGCGAAGGCAGCCUCCUGGGAUAACACUGACGCUCAUGCACGAAAGCGUGGGGAGCAAACAGGGAUUAGAUACCCUGGUAGUCCACGCCCUAAACGAUGUCAACUAGCUGUUGGGGCUCUUUCUGGGCUCAGAAGCGCGAAAGAACGCGUGAAGUUGACCGCCUGGGGAGUACGGUCGCAAGAUUAAAACUCAAAGGAAUUGACGGGGACCCGCACAAGCGGUGGAUGAUGUGGAUUAAUUUGAUGCAACGCGAAAACCUUACCUACCCUUGACAUGUCUGGAACAUGUCGUCAGCUCGUGUCGUGAGAUGUUGGGUUAAGUCCCGCAACGAGCGCAACCUGUCAUUAGUUGCUACGAAAGGGCACUCUAAUGAGACUGCCGGUGACAAACCGAGGAAGGUGGGGAUGACGUCAAGUCCUCAUGGCCCUUUAUGGCAGGGGCUUCACACGUCAUACAAUGGUCGGGACAGAGGGGUCGCCAACCCGCGAGGGGGAGCCAAUCCCAGAAACCCGAUCGGGGUCCGAUCGCAGUCUGCAACUCGACUGCGUGAAGUCGGAAUCGCUAGUAAUCGCGGAUCAGCAUGUCGCGGUGAAUACGUUCCCGGGUCUUGUACACCGCCUGUCACACCAUGGGAGUGGGUUUUACCUGCAGGGUGAAGUUAGCUUCCAACCGUAAGGAGGGCGAUUACCACGGUAGGAUUCAUGACUGGGGUGAAGUCGUAACGGUAG